RNAcentral lists this ribosomal RNA (661 nucleotides) under Escherichia coli. Its description in RNAcentral is "bacterial SSU rRNA". It matches the Rfam family "Bacterial small subunit ribosomal RNA", at positions 1 to 649 of the family's 1533-position model. The record is from RNAcentral. Lineage: Bacteria; Pseudomonadati; Pseudomonadota; Gammaproteobacteria; Enterobacterales; Enterobacteriaceae.
UUAAAUUGAAGAGUUUGAUCAUGGCUCAGAUUGAACGCUGGCGGCAGGCCUAACACAUGCAAGUCGAACGGUAACAGAAAGCAGCUUGCUGCUUUGCUGACGAGUGGCGGACGGGUGAGUAAUGUCUGGGAAACUGCCCGAUGGAGGGGGAUAACUACUGGAAACGGUAGCUAAUACCGCAUAACGUCGCAAGACCAAAGAGGGGGACCUUCGGGCCUCUUGCCAUCGGAUGUGCCNAGAUGGGAUUAGCUAGUAGGUGGGGUAACGGCUCACCUAGGCGACGAUCCCUAGCUGGUCUGAGAGGAUGACCAGCNACACUGGAACUGAGACACGGUCCAGACUCCUACGGGAGGCAGCAGUGGGGAAUAUUGCACAAUGGGCGCAAGCCUGAUGCAGCCAUGCCGCGUGUAUGAAGAAGGCCUUCGGGUUGUAAAGUACUUUCAGCGGGGAGGAAGGGAGUAAAGUUAAUACCUUUGCUCAUUGACGUUACCCGCAGAAGAAGCACCGGCUAACUCCGUGCCAGCAGCCGCGGUAAUACGGAGGGUGCAAGCGUUAAUCGGAAUUACUGGGCGUAAAGCGCACGCAGGCGGUUUGUUAAGUCAGAUGUGAAAUCCCCGGGCUCAACCUGGGAACUGCAUCUGAUACUGGCAAGCUUGAGUCU